This 105-nucleotide small nuclear RNA is filed under the name Microcebus murinus (gray mouse lemur). The record is from RNAcentral. Lineage: Eukaryota; Metazoa; Chordata; Mammalia; Primates; Cheirogaleidae.
GUGUCCACUUCAGCAGCACAUACAAUAAAAUUGAAACAAUACAGAGAAGAUUAGCAUGGACCCUGCACAAAGAUGACACAAAUUCAUGAAGCAUUCCAUAUUUUU